Molecule: long non-coding RNA, 115 nt
Organism: Sphaerodactylus townsendi
Lineage: Eukaryota; Metazoa; Chordata; Lepidosauria; Squamata; Sphaerodactylidae
Exons: 3
Source: RefSeq, a predicted model, not a curated record
CAGGGCAUGAGACCUUUCAGAGGUGGUUUGCCAUUGCCUGCCUCUGCAGGGUGACCCUGGUCUUCCUCGGCGGUCUCCCAUCCGAAUGCUACCAGGGCUGACCCUUCUUAGCUUC